GACGAACGCUGGCGGCGUGCUUAACACAUGCAAGUCGAACGGAAAGGCACUGCUUUUGUGGGGUGCUCGAGUGGCGAACGGGUGAGUAACACGUGAGUAACCUGCCCUUGACUUUGGGAUAACUUCAGGAAACUGGGGCUAAUAUCGGAUAGGAGCUCCUGCUGCAUGGUGGGGGUUGGAAAGUUUCGGCGGUUGGGGAUGGACUAGCGGCUUAUCAGCUUGUUGGUGGGGUAGUGGCUUACCAAGGCUUUGACGGGUAGCCGGCCCGAGAGGGUGACCGGCCACAAUGGGACUGAGAUACGGCCCAGACGCCUACAGGAGGCAGCAGGGGGGAAUAUGACACAAUGGGCGGAAGCCUGAUGCAGCAACGCCGCGUGCGGGAUGACGGCCUUCGGGUUGUGAACCGCUGUCGCCUGAGACGAAGCGGGAGUGACGGUAAUGGAUAAAGAAGCACCGGCUAACUACGUG
This 468-nucleotide ribosomal RNA is filed under the name uncultured bacterium. RNAcentral's name for it is "partial 16S ribosomal RNA". It matches the Rfam family "Bacterial small subunit ribosomal RNA", at positions 28 to 507 of the family's 1533-position model. The record is from RNAcentral.